This 227-nucleotide long non-coding RNA is filed under the name Lathyrus oleraceus (garden pea). RNAcentral describes it as "Pisum sativum (pea) long non-coding RNA (PSAT_LNC013700)". Lineage: Eukaryota; Viridiplantae; Streptophyta; Magnoliopsida; Fabales; Fabaceae. The record is from RNAcentral.
AUGCAAGUAUGCAAUUUGUUGGGGAUAUUUGGUUGUGCAUGUAGGAAUGUGAAUGAUUUUUAUCUUAUUGAAAUUCCCAUUUUAUGGGAGUAUUAUGCAUGAGUAUGUUGAUGACUGGUACGACUGUGUUUUUUUUUUAAUUUUCUGUUUGGUAGGAAAACCAUGUAUGGAUGAUUCGUGUGAUUUGGGAAUGCAACUGGGUAAUUGGAUGUUUUUGUAGGGUUUAA